GCCAACCUGGAAAACCAAUUCAAGUCAGGAAAAAGUAGAGGAAUUUAAAAAAAAAAACGUAUUUCAGAAAAGUAAAUGAAGUUUGUUUUGUCGAAAAGAUAUACUGAUUCAUUUAUUUUCACACUACGACAAUUUAAUUUAAAUAAUUAUGAUGUAAUUAAUCAUAACCCGGGGCUCAACUGGUUUUCAAAAGUAUUAGUAAGUGGUUCAGACGCUUACCUUAAGGCCUGCCCAAGUUGGAACACGUGCAUUAUGUAGCUGAUGGCGUUCGUCUUUAUCCCAAUCUUUUCGAGCCAUUUGUUCCUGUUUUUAAAGAUAUUAGUUAGUAACUUGAAGAAUAUUCUGCCGAAAUUAUUUGUUAGAGUGUAAUUGCUUUUAAUUACAAGCCUUUAAAAUAGAGGAACAAACUUUUGGGACACGCUGUACAUAGUCACCAUUGCCCGUUUUGCGAUAAGAGUCGAGUUUCUGUGAUAUCCUGGAAUAUCUCAGAAAAUCGCAAUAAAUCCAAAUGAAGAAAAAAAAGGUGCGAGAUCACACUUUGUGAAAUUCAAAAAUAUCUUUGAAUAUCGCAACGACGCAAAAGAUAUGAAUAGCUCGUUUGCGAUGUUCUACGAUUUUCCAUGAUAUCCUAUUAGGUGAGUUCAUUCCGGCUUGAGAAAAGAAUUGUGUGCAAAAGAAUUUGAUACGCAUGGGUCGACCUUUGGAUAUUCUGCGAUUUUUUUUUCAACAUUUAAAAUUAACUGUAUUAAAAUUAUCCGAAUUUGAAGCACUGUUAAGUUAUGCGUGACAUUUCUAAAACGCAUAGUUUUAAAGCGGCUUAUAAAACAAAAGAAAUAAAACAAAAACAGAAAAAGCAAUAAACAACAUUUGACAAAUUAAAUGAAUAAAACCCUUCUAAAAAUAUAUAUACUGUGGAACCCCGGACACCCUCGGGACUUUCAUAAGUGUCCGUAUUAUCGGGGUGUCCGUGUUAAGCGGGCUUUGUUUUGUUUUACUUCAUAGUUAAAUGACUUCGUCUUCUGGAAAAGGCGACUUGAAAUAAAAAGUCACGUGACUUCUUAGUUCAAGUGUAAUUUUUCAAAAAAAAAAAUUGCACGAGCCCGUAGGGCGAAUUUGAGACUAUUUAAAGCACACGAGCGCAAUUACGAAUCGUAUGAUCACUUAUAAAUAACACACAAAUUAGUUAAAGUCAAGUUUUUGUUUGAAACACAGUAAAACAGCGCGCUUUUUUAAAAAAACUGGUGUGAUUCGUCCGUGGAAUUGGACAUUGAAUCUAAAAAUGAUCACAAUAUGUUUUUUGUUUGUUUUAAACGCGAUCCCCUGAUAGAAUAGAAUAGCCAUAGAAUUGCUCUGUCAUAUUUUUUUGCUAAUUAACACCCGAGUGUUUUUUGCCCAGUUAUAUUUUUGCUUAUUUUUAUCACCCGAUGAGUGUUUCUGUCCCGUUAUAAUUUUGCCUUUUUUUCGCUAAUUGUUCACUUUCCUCCCUCUGAUUGAUGUUGCGCUAUAUUCCUCGAGGUUCACGUGGGUAAAGGUCAGUUAUUAAGAAACUCAUAAAUAAUCAUAUAGAACCAAAUUAAUUCCGGCCCGCUGUAGACUUGUAUCAACAUUGUGAAUCAAGCCCUUAAAUGAUACAAACUUUUGCAUUUUGCUUUUAUUGUUGUCAUUCUUCUGACAGGUAUUUGGAUUAGUUGAUGGAAGCGUUACCUGGAAUGCCGAGCCUAUGACGCUCCCCGUGGAGAUCGAUGCUCAAAAAGCAUCGAUCUCCACAGGGGCCGGGGUCAAAAAUUCCGUUGUUAAGAGCGUGCGGCUUGUUAUGAUACGAUCUUACGUUCUGUUAUCAACAUCACCCAAUCAGAAUCCGCUUUUUUUGCAUACGUCAUUCACCCCUUGCUGGCUGCCUGGGAUGUCGCCGACUUGUACUGGUUUUCGUUGGAUUGUGCCGGUUGCAUUUUCUUAGCGAAUCUCCGUGAUUUUAGUGAAUUUUAUCGAAUUUUAGUGAUCAAGUCAAAAUGACUUCCAAGAAAUUUGUUGUUGUGGAGUGGCUGAACAACGCAGAGGAUCGUCGCGAGUUAACAGUUCAGGGGAAAUGAAGUUUUGCGCCAGAGUGGUUUGGUAUCGGUGGUAUUCAUUGCAUUGCAGCAGAUAACACACCAAGACUUUACGAGGCAGAAGUGUUGCAAAACUUCGGAACGUCGAUGCUAUUAUCUUCUGCGGCAUUGUCUGGCUUGAUUUUGGAUUACUUUCCUCCGUGAUUUGUAAAUACUCUUGCUUUUGGUGGCGGACGUUUGGGAGCACAAGCAGCUUCACAGUUCUAAACUACGGAGUACAUUUUUAUAAAAGCAUGAAGUAUUUGAACCCAGGGCGACGGUAAACCUCGACGGCGUUUAAUUCUAUAUUGUAACAUACAUGCGCCGUAAUAAGGGUGCAGCACCUCUGUAUUAUGACUUUAGUGCUAAAACUCGGAGCAAUUUCAGAAUUAUAUCUCAACUUGCAGUUUUUGGAUUUGGAUUUCAGACUCACAGCGCAAGGCAAAGCAGUUUGAAAACGAGCUGCUUGAGGAGGCAACGACAGCGUUGACCGAGGUUUACAAAGAUGUUUCUGCAGAGGAUCAGCAAAGUCCACUGUCACAACAAAAGCAGAAAAUUAAAUAUCUGUCAAAGCCCCUGGAAGGGGUGAAGAGGCUUGUCAGACCUCUUCACCAAAGAAGAACUCAUGCGGUGCACACUGAAGGGGAAGGGAAUGUCCAGGGAUGCCUGGACAGCAACAAGCUACAGAUAAUUUAUGGUGCAAUGAGGGGAAAUUACGGAAUGACUGAUGAGAAAGUGGACCAGCUGAUUACAAAACAGCAAAAUCCUUAAAAAACAAAACCAAAAAAAGUCUUCAGUAAAGCUAAGUGAAAUGUCCAUUGUUUGUGUAAAAUGUUCGCUUUAGUGGGUUUUUUAAUCAUAGAGAUAUUUUAGCUUGCCUUGCACUUUUUGUUGUAUACCAACUUUUUGUCGAAUUUGGUUUUGUCUUUUAACGAUUUUGGCUGAUUUCUAUAACGUUAUAGAAGUCACUGUUCACGUUGUAUCCGAAAAUUAUAAAGUUGAUUAUCAAAUUUUGAAAUAAUUGUAAAAUUGUUCUGUAUUCUAAAAAUAAAAUUAUUUGCUGGAAAAUAUUGCUAGAUAUUUGUAAUAAAUUACCGGAUAUCCAAGAAAAGCGUAUAAUAUUCUGCAAAAUGACAAUAUGUCAAUAACAAUAACCUCAAUUUCCUUCAAUUCCGAAAAAUCUAAUAAUAUCCGAUUAUGCAUUCACUAAAAUCAAAGAAAAUCCAA
Molecule: long non-coding RNA, 3314 nt
Organism: Nematostella vectensis (starlet sea anemone)
Lineage: Eukaryota; Metazoa; Cnidaria; Anthozoa; Actiniaria; Edwardsiidae
Exons: 5
Source: RefSeq, a predicted model, not a curated record